AGGUUCUCGAUUAGUUUCUCGCC
RNAcentral lists this non-coding RNA (23 nucleotides) under Arabidopsis thaliana (thale cress). Lineage: Eukaryota; Viridiplantae; Streptophyta; Magnoliopsida; Brassicales; Brassicaceae. The record is from RNAcentral.